This 24-nucleotide non-coding RNA is filed under the name Arabidopsis thaliana (thale cress). Lineage: Eukaryota; Viridiplantae; Streptophyta; Magnoliopsida; Brassicales; Brassicaceae. The record is from RNAcentral.
GAUGAGACCAUAUAUUUACAUAGG